Long non-coding RNA from Astatotilapia calliptera (eastern happy), 1020 nucleotides. The record is from Ensembl. NCBI's taxonomy places the organism in Eukaryota, Metazoa, Chordata, Actinopteri, Cichliformes, Cichlidae.
ACAGGAUUCAGCAGCAUGUUUUAUGAUUCCCAGUAAUACAGAUAUUAUAUAUUCUCUCCUUAUUCAACUUAAUUUUUUAUUUCGUUUGCAUGAUACAUACACAAGGAACCUAUGAAAAUUUAAUAUUAGAGAUUAAAGGGAUGAUGGUACUUUUUAUUUUUCAUAUUCUCAAAAAAUCCUGUUAAAAUCCUAAAACCAACAAUAAAAGACCCACUGCAUAAGACUGCUUAUUAUAUCCCCCUUUGUGCUGCUAAAAUUGCUCUGACCUGUUGGCAUGUGGACAGGCUCUUUAGGGCAGCGGUCCCCAACCCCUGGGCCACGGACCGGUACUGGUCUGUGAGUCGUUUGGUGCCGGGCCACAAGAGUUGAGGCUCGGGUGUGAAAUUUAUUGUUUUCAGGUUUUUUAUCAUUUUUUAUCAUUAUUUUUUUUAAUCGUUUUUAUUGUUAACUUUGUUUCCCUGGGUCUUUUCCCGUGUGUUACAAAUAAAUCUUCUUUUUUUUUGGUAUCGGUACUGGUUUUAUUUUGUUGUAUUUAUCUGCAACACCUUAAAGUCUGGUCCGUGAAAAUAUUGUCAGACAUAAACCGGUCCGUGGCGCAAAAAAGGUUGGGACCGCUGCUCUAGGGGUAUUCUGUUGUGCCUGGUUUUGUUUUACAUGUACAAUAAAAAUAAAAUGCUAUUUUGUUCUAUUCUAUUCUAUUCUAUUCUAUUCUACCCCAACUCACACAUUUAAUUUAAAGUUACUUUAUUAAAAUUCAUAUAAUUCAAAUCUACAGUAUUACUUUUACUAAUGCUACUAUUACUACAGAACAUUGCAUUGGAAUGACAUGAAUGGUGUGAAUCACUUUCCCUGUAAAACUGCAUUACCUAAGCAGACGGCAAAAUCUUCUUUGCGAUUGCUUUGGUUACUAUAAUACUGUUGCAGUUGUAUUUUGAAUGGAAGUGACAAACUUGUCUUCAAACACUGAUCAGGUACUCUUCAAAAGUCAGAAGUCAAAGUUGCUGUGCUGAGACACACUUU